UUUGUUUGGCAAAUGUUAAAUUCAUGUUAGUACAGUUAGUCAACGUAAUAUUGAAUGUGCCAAAAACCAAUUGAUUUGAUGUUCAUAUUUCCUGCUAAUAUAAUUUGCUGUUUGCUUUAUAAUAAGGCGUUAAUUUAAUGUGUGUGAAAUAUAGAUGUGAUCCAAUAUUGUUAAUUAUAUUUUUCUGUUCACAGACAUUGUGGGCACUUGCUGUAAUCGUCAAAAUAAGAAAACAGAAGUGUGUCAUAUCUGAGCAUGCGUGUAUUGAAGGAUGUGAUGUUGUUAUUACAAGUUUUGUUAAUAAAAUCACUUUUGUUUCACGAACUUUAGAACCACUUUCUGAGCUUCUCCCCUUGUCCUCCCGCCCUUCCGGACUGGAGGUAACAGUUGUAAAAUGAUCUCUGUGUAAUAAAUGAAAUAAAUGCUUUCGAAACAGUAUUUGAUAUGUUAUGUACCGCAUUCUUUAUUUGCUAUAUUACAUUCAGCUGUCACCAUAGAUAGUGCAAACCAUCGUAAUAAAGUAUAUAUACAAGCAGCUUAUGGACACAAGUUUCAUACCUUAAAGAAAUACCAAAACUAUUUUUAACACAUUAUUUUAUUAGUAAGAAAGGAAAUUCCCGCAAUAAUUCUCGGAGUUGUCGCUUUGGGUAAUGUCAUUAUAAAAUUAAAAUUAACUUCACAAAAAUACUUUUAGUACUCAGUCACUCUUCACAUAAUGUGGGUACUGGGAAUUGACUUUGAUACACAAGCUAUAAGCCUAUUUCAGCACAUGCGUAAACUCAUUAAUUAAAACAGUACUUUGUCGGAUUCUGAAGUCCACAGCCACAGCAAUCAAGUAAUUGCGUAUUGUGUCAAUGACAUGUAUAUCUUCUUACAAUCGGUAUCUUAUUAAAUGUAACUGCUAGUUGAAGUAUCUUAUAUGUUUUUAGGAAACGAGGACUUUCAUGGGCUACCACUUUUUGGGGUCUUCAAUGUUGGUGAGGCUGGGGAGGUAUAUCGAGACCAGCAAAGGCUUUCCCGUCUGGAGGGACGUAAACAGUAAAGGAAGACAGAAAUAUCACCACUGCACGGGUGGUGCAGCGAUUAAAUCGUGUAUUAAAAAAAUACAAAUAAACAGAUCCUUCUUCAUGAAUCGAAGAGUACUCCUGAUGGUGGGGCUGAACGAUGUGCUCAAGGGCAUGCGAUCAGAUUAUGCCGCGAGGGACUUAAAGAUCCUGCUCCGGACACUAAAGGAGAGGCAGUGCUACCCCCUGUGCCCCGCUUCCCCCGGGCAGCAGGCAGGAGCUGUACUGGCUCAACUGCCACAUGCAGAGAACAGCAGAAAGCAUGAAAUUCCGCACUGUUUCCAUAGAUGGAAUAUUCCGCAAUUCGGAUGGGUCUGUGAGGUCAGGGUUUUUCGAGAGGUACAUGGGAGCCAACAGAAAACCAGACCACGUGCACUGGAACCAACAAGGCAUGGAAGCAGUAGUGAGAUUUCUGAAACAAAUUUUGUGAAAUAUAUAUAUGGACACACAUGAAAUAAAAUAAUUUCUUAAUUUGUUAUUGUUAACAAUAAUUGGAAUUGAAAUAGUUUAGCAAAGUUACGGCAUUGCGAAAAUAUAAAUUUUGUUAAUUUUGCAUUGUGUUUCUUUACAAGCGUUGGCUUGAAAUUCCUAACAUCAUUCAACCUAAAACUCUAUGAUGCAAGUGAAAUGUUAUCUAAAAG
Bacillus rossius redtenbacheri is the source of this 1705-nucleotide long non-coding RNA. RefSeq lists it as uncharacterized. Lineage: Eukaryota; Metazoa; Arthropoda; Insecta; Phasmatodea; Bacillidae. The transcript is spliced from 5 exons. The record is from RefSeq and is a predicted model, not a curated record.